Molecule: long non-coding RNA, 1302 nt
Filed under: Olea europaea subsp. europaea
Lineage: Eukaryota; Viridiplantae; Streptophyta; Magnoliopsida; Lamiales; Oleaceae
Source: RNAcentral
GCAAACAAGCACUAAUAUGUUCUGGAAUUGUAAUAGGGAUUUGUUGACCAAGACUUCUACAAAUUUUGAUUGGUUCAAACACUAUCAUUAAAAUUAUGCCCCGUGUGGGAGCCAUUUUCUCAAGAAAGUCAUCAAUUUUUUGACAGUUGCUAAUGAAAAAGAUACCCACUUCUGCCUUUUUUUUUACUUCACCAGAAAUAAAUUAUCACCUAAAUUUGAAGUCUAGAAGGAAAAGACUAUAUCACCCCUGUUUUUACUUUGAAUUACUUGUACACAUUUUCAUCAACCACUAUGUUUGACUAUGUCAAAGAGGGUAUAUUUGGAAAUGGAUUUUUAGGUGAUAAUUUAUUGAUGAGAAAGUCAAAAAAUGGCAGCACUGGGACCCACUUUAAUUCUCAAAUACAAUAUAGCUGGUAUCCCCUCAAUUCAAAAUAUGGGCUCCUUCAAAUCAAUCUCCAUUUCAAUUUUCAUUUUUUCUCUUGCUUCCCUUAUCUUCCACAACACUAACGCAGCCACGUUCAUAAUCCGUAACAAUUGUCCCUUCCCAGUCUGGGCUGCGGCUGUCCCUGUUGGUGGCAGGCUGCUCAACAAUGAGCAAACUUGGACCAUAAAGCCUAGUGUGGGCACUGAAGGGGCUCGAAUUUAGGCUCGAACAAGUUGCAACUUUGAUGACUCUGGUCGUGGUAAAUGUCAAGCAGGAGACUGCAAUGGAUUACUCCAGUGUCAAGGCUAUGGUACACCACCUAACACCAUAGCUGAAUAUGCCCUCAACCAAUUUAAUAACUGGGACUUAUUUGAUAUAUCCCUUGUUGACGGGUUUAAUAUGCCGAUGGAAUUUAGUCCCAAUUCCGGUGGGUGCACCCGCGGAAUCCGCUGCAUUGCUGACAUCAAUGGUCAAUGUCCGAAUUAGCUGAGGUCACCCGGCGGCUGCAACAACCCCUGCACAGCGAGAAGCUGUGGGCCGACAACAUUUACUAAGUUUUUUAAAGAUAGGUGCCCCCAUGCAUAUAGUUACCCUAAAGAUGAUCAGGCCUACACAUUUACUUGUCCUGGAGGAAUCAAUUAUCGAGUGGUCUUUCGCCCUUGAAGCAGAAACUCUUUCCAUGUAAUAAAAAUAUUAUGAGAUAAAUAAUUGAAAAAAAUAAUGUUUGAGUUCAAAUUGGCUGCCAUCAAGUGCAAAUGCUGUAUGAUUUUCAGAUAUGUAUUACAAUAGCUAUUAUGAAGUAGUAUCCCUCUCUUCUAUAAAAAAUAAUCUCUUCUGUGUUUGAAAAACAGAAAAAAUGAGUAAUAAUUUCAUUAAUA